Molecule: non-coding RNA, 3172 nt
Organism: Python bivittatus (Burmese python)
Lineage: Eukaryota; Metazoa; Chordata; Lepidosauria; Squamata; Pythonidae
Source: RefSeq, a predicted model, not a curated record
CUGAGGUGACCAUACAAAUCCUCCGAUAACAGUGGAUACCAGCUGUAGACUGCAGCUUUUCAGCUUCUACAAUUUUUCAAAAAACGACAUACAAAUUCAAAGCACAGAGGUUUACUGAAGGAUUCUGACUAUUUUUAGUUUGACAAAAAUCUUUCUGUGGAGGAAUUGAAAUAAUAACUAACUGAAUAACUAACCAAAUGUUAGCAUUGUAAUCCUGAGUGCCUUUCAUCUGUACGCACCGUCCUGUCUCCUAUCUUCACUCUCCUAGGGGGACAUGAAUAAACAGGGUGGCUUCAAAAAGUCACAGAAUGACUAUGGGAAGACCAAACACAGAUGAACUGAGAUGCAAACAAAAACUCCACCAUGAGAAACUCUUCCUGUGGGGAUUUUUCAGACCAGGAAACAUGGACAUAGCAGCGUCCACAGAGAGGCAUGGAAAUCGGCAAAAUGGCAGAUGAAGCACUAUGAUUGAUAGAAUUGCAGCUUCUUAUGACUACAUUUAUUCCACAAUAAGAGCCACCAACUUGGCUGCUUUUUUAUUUUUAACGAGUUCCCCAGUGCACCAUUCCAUCCUUUUUCCUGUCACUUGAAGUAGAAAGAUGAUCCAUUUGCCCAUCUGAGAGAAAGGUUAAAAAAGGGAGGAUGGUCUUCCAGUGGACUUCUAAAAAAAAAAUUAAAAAGCCAGUGAGCGUCUGCAUGUCAAGCAAAUGUUAUAACCAUCAUGUUACUGGAACACCAUUAUCAAUAAUAGCUGCAGCAGAGAUUGGAAGGCUUCAGGGUGCUGACUAUUGUUCUAGGUACAGGGUGUUCUUGCCACUGCACGCCAUAACUAGUCAAAGUGCAGAAAAGUAAAGCACAUCAGGCAGAGCAGGUAACAUUGCUUGAGCUGGCCCAAACCAAAAAACACUACUUUCAACACACAGCAGGAAAAAACAGGCAGUGGUCACAUUUGCAGUAAAUUUGGAGUGACUAGAGGACAUCAUCACCUGCUCCUACCCUCCAUAAACAGUUGGAAGCCUAUACUCAUGAUGGGGGAAACUGGCAGGGCAGAUAUUUUUCAAAAUAUAAAUGAGUAAAAGCUUCAGAUUAGCACAGUUUGUUUCUAUGUCAUUCGGCAUUCCAUUUCAAGCAUUCCCAGCCUGAAAAGGAUUUCAGGAUUUUAUAUCAACAUUCAGAAAGCUGGUCCCCAUUAAUAUUAUGAAGAAAUACAGUCAACUGAAUAGAUGUGUCAUAUUUAUCAGGUAAAAAGAUCUACAUAUUGUUAAUGUUAUUAAUUUAAUUAGCAGUCAUCUCUCAACCAGGUUGCAGUAGUUCGUUUUACACGGGGCUGCCUUUGAACACUACCCAGAAACUUCAGGUGGGGCAGCCUGUGGCUGCUCAUGUGAUAGUGGGUCAGUGUAGUUAUUGCCAUAUUAUACUGGAGCUGCUAAUUUUAUCCUAAUUUUCAUAGACUACCAAAUUGAUGACCAUCAGAUGUACUGGAUGUCAGUUUCCAAAGUUCUCAGACAGUUUAGCUCCAACACCUGUGGCAAUGUGGAGAACUGACAAGGGUGAUGUUCUGACAAGGUUACCUAAGUGGUUUUUCAGUCUGUAGAUCUUGAGGAAGUGACAGGGUCCUUCAUGGUGGUAGUUCUGUCAUAUAUAGGUUUGAUCCUUGCCCCUCAUGACUGGUCCAGGAGGGACUUAGGAGCUGGGUCCUGACAAUGAUAAAUUUCUCGCUGGGAAAGGAAGAGGUGUUAAUUUGCCCUCCUCCUCAAAAGCUCUAUUGGACCCAGCAAUUUUGGACAAUUAUUGGUCUAUCUCUAACCUUCCCUUCUUAGAGAAAGUUUUGUAGAGAGAGGUAGAAUGGCAAUUGCCAAGGAUUCAGGAAGAAGUAGAUUGCCUAAAUCCCUGGCAAUCAGGAUUUAGAUUCAGGCAUGGGACAGAAACCACAUUUUGUUCUCUUGGAUGACCUUUGUGGAACCAAGGAUGUAAGGACCAUGAUCAUCCUUGUCCUGCUGUAUGUCUCAGCAGCAUUCAAGAGCAUAUAUCAAAAUAUCCUUCUGAAUCACCAGCAGGAGUUCAGAAUGGGAGGCAACAUAUGAUGGUUUCUUUCCUUCCUUAUUGGGUGAUUCCAGUCAGUAGUUAUGAGAGAGGAGAGAUCGAAUUCUCAAACCAAGAUGAAGUGCUCAGGUCUCAGUCUUCUCCCUCAUUCUGUUUAAUACCUACAUGAAGCUCCCGGGAGAGAUUAUCCACUGGUUCAGGGUCGGGUAUCAUAAUAUGCUGAUGAUACACAGUUAUAUAUCUCCACCCAAAGCUGAAUGGGAGAUGCUUGGAAGCUGCCAGGAACUGGGUGGAGAGAAACAGGCUCAAUUUCAGCUGAAGCAACACAUAUGGGCUUUUCAUUCAGAAGUCUGCCAAUUCUAGGACUGUACCAAGCCUGGGCAGGGUUGUCCUCCCCUGAAAGUACAGGCUUGCAAUCUCAUGACUUCUUCUAGAACAGCAGUUUGACAUCAUAGCCUUUUCCCAGCUUCAGCUGAUGUGCCAGCUGUGGCCAUUUCUGGAAUAUGAAAUGCUGAAUAUACUCAUGCCCAUGUCACCUCUCUCAGUCAGAUUGCUGUAAUUCAUUUUACAUGGGGCUGUCCUUGGCAGGUUACUCAGAAACUCCAGGUGGGGCAGAAUACAGCUGCCCAUAGGAUAAUGGGUCAAUCCAUUACUGCCAUAUUCCACUGCUAUUAAACCAACUACCAGUUUGUUUCUGAGUGAAAUUCAAGGUACUGGUUAUCACCUAUGAAGUCCUAAAUGGCUUGGGCCUCUGCGAGACCACCUAUUUUGGGUAGAAGCUGUCUGCACAAUGUUCACAGAACAUGCCUGCUGAAAGUUUCCACUUAUGAGAAUGGAGUAUUCUCUGUGGGUCCACGGCCUACUCCCCUCACCCUCCAAUAGAGCAGUUUGCCCCCAUAAAGGCUCCUUUUUGGAAAAGAAGUUAAAAUCUGGUUAUUUCAGAAGUCUUUCAGAGACUAGAAUCUGAGUGUAGUCCAUUGCUAUGAAUAUUGUUCUUCACUGAAGUUACUGAAUGCAUUUACUGUAUUGUAAUCUUACUGUGCUAUUUAUUUGAUAUAUUGUUAACUUGUGCAUCACUUAGAGUCACUUAUGACUGAUGUGUUAUGAAAGUCUCAUUAAUAAAGACAAA